This 1558-nucleotide unclassified non-coding RNA is filed under the name Hevea brasiliensis (rubber tree). The record is from RNAcentral. Lineage: Eukaryota; Viridiplantae; Streptophyta; Magnoliopsida; Malpighiales; Euphorbiaceae.
GUCCGGCCCAUAGGUUGGGUCGUAACACUCUGUCCAUUUUCUGUUAAAAAUUUUAAAUUAAAUUUCACUAAUUGGAAAAUUUUAAAUAAGUGAAACAUUUAUCAAUUAAUUUACUUAUGAAUUAAAUAAAUUGAAAAUUUGUAAAUCUCCCUUUAUUUUCUCCAAUUGAAGCAUAAAUAGGAAUUAAAGUAAACCAAGCUUCACCUUGGAGAGAGAGUGUUAACCCUUGAGAUAUACUCUUGGACGUGUCUCGGGGGCAUUUACACACUGCUCCAACUGCGGAUAAGGUUUGGGUGUUACAUAGCCAUGCCCAAGUGAUAAUUUCUAUCUAAGAGUUUCUGAUUAGAUUUGAGCUUAUUACUAUCUACUAACGCCUUAACAAACAUUCAUAGGACAUUUUGAGUACUCGUGUAAAACUGGCUCGUUGACUCUGACGAAUUGGCACCAACAUAAAUCAGAAGAACGCUUGCACACUUUCCCAUCUUCACAGAGACAAUGUGUAGUUGUAAAAGCUUCCUUAUGUUUUCAGAACUAAUGUUUAACAAGAAAUUUUUCAUGCCUCCGAUUGUGGAUGAGAUGGUUUUCUGGAAGACAGAAGGCUAAAAUUUAUAGUUAAUUUAAUUUAAUAUUUUAAAUCAUUUUUAAUCAGGUUAAAUAACAUUUUAAUUAUAUUGUUGCAGCAUUUUCACUUCCUUCCAGUGUUUUUCAAUAGGUCGAUGUUGAAGCAUGUAAUACUAUUGCUUCAAACUCUAAAUUUUCUACAAGUUCCAAUGAUAUAGUUUGUGUAUUUUGUUUGAAUUCAGAUUCUGAAAUCUAGCUGUAAAAGUAGAUGUGAAAUGUUCAAACUUGUAAGACUAAUUUUCUAAGUAAGGUGCUUCAUCCCUCUCUUAGUUGAUUAGGUCAAAAACAUGUAAUAUUUAGCUAUAUAAAUAGCCAUAUACUGCAAAAAGUGUGUAAAAAAGAAAAGCAAGAAAUCAGUCUUAGUUUCAGCAGAAAUCUCUCUUAUUUUCUUCUUAGUUUUCUUCCUUGAAACCCAACAAAUGGUAUUACAGCUUCAAUGAUCUUAAGGGACCAAAUCAGAGUUUGCUCUUGUUGAAGAAACAUGGCUGAAAAUACUUCACUUCCAGCACUAUCAAUGUUCAAAGGGGAGAACUAAAACUUCUGGUCUGUCAAAAUGAAAGUUUUUCUCGCGGCAUAUGAUCUGUGGGAGACAAUUGAGAAGGGCUAUGAACCAUUACUUCAAGACAAUCCUACUAUUGCUAAGAUGAAGAAACAAAAGGAAGAUUAAAUAAACAAUUUCAAAGAACUCUCAUUUCUCCGUUCAAUAGUAGAUGAUUCAAUAUUUCCAAUGAUUAUGGAAGCAACAACAGCAAAAUCGGCCUGGGAUGCUCUUCAGGAGGAGUUUCAAGGUUUAGAAAAGGUAAGGACUAUUGUUAAAUUUUAGAAGGAAAUUUCAGUCAUUACUGAUGAAUGAAGAAGAGACUAUUAAAGAUUAUGUUUCAAAGUUUGUUAAAGUUGUUAAUGAAAUGAAAAUUUAUGGAGAGAAUUAGUAAGUACA